UGGGAUAUAGCUCAGUGGUAGAGAGCUUGCCUAGCAUGCAUGAGGUCCUAGGUUCAAGCCCUAGUAACUAAC
This 72-nucleotide transfer RNA is filed under the name Neotoma lepida (desert woodrat). It matches the Rfam family "tRNA". Rfam says of the family: Transfer RNA (tRNA) molecules are approximately 80 nucleotides in length. Their secondary structure includes four short double-helical elements and three loops (D, anti-codon, and T loops). Further hydrogen bonds mediate the characteristic L-shaped molecular structure. tRNAs have two regions of fundamental functional importance: the anti-codon, which is responsible for specific mRNA codon recognition, and the 3' end, to which the tRNAs corresponding amino acid is attached (by aminoacyl-tRNA synthetases). tRNAs cope with the degeneracy of the genetic code in two manners: having more than one tRNA (with a specific anti-codon) for a particular amino acid; and 'wobble' base-pairing, i.e. permitting non-standard base-pairing at the 3rd anti-codon position. Lineage: Eukaryota; Metazoa; Chordata; Mammalia; Rodentia; Cricetidae. The record is from Rfam by way of RNAcentral.